RNAcentral lists this unclassified non-coding RNA (278 nucleotides) under plant metagenome. RNAcentral's name for it is "partial contains small subunit ribosomal RNA, internal transcribed spacer 1, and 5.8S ribosomal RNA". The stretch from base 230 to 278 matches the Rfam family "5.8S ribosomal RNA", at positions 1 to 49 of the family's 154-position model. The record is from RNAcentral.
UUUCCGUAGGUGAACCUGCGGAAGGAUCAUUACCGAAUUUAAUUCCGGGGUUGUAGCUGGCCAUUAUUUUGGCAUGUGCACGCCCUGGUAAUCCAAAUCAUUUAUACCUCUGUGCACUAUUAUGUGGGAUUGAUGAGGCUUUGGUGCUUGCGCCAAUGGCAUUAUCAUUCUCAUGUUUCACAUACACUCUUUAGUAUAGAAUGUUAUUGCGUUAGACGCAUCUUAAUACAACUUUCAGCAACGGAUCUCUUGGCUCUCGCACCGAUGAAGAACGCAGC